GGCUAGUGAUCAUGAACCAGUGAUUAGGGGAAACAAGGAAAAGUUGGAAAGAGCCAACGGCGGCGGUGGGAAAGUUCUUGCCCCUGAAAAUUUCAAUGACAACUGUCCUCCUCCACCUCCUAAACCUGAAUGUCCACUUCCACCCCCGCCUCCACCUCCUCCCCCUCCUGUACCAAAAUGUACACUUCCCCCACCCCCACCCCCACCCCCACCUCCACCUCCGCCUCCGCCUCCGCCUCCGCCUCCGCCUCCUGUACCAAAAUGUACAUUUCCCCCACCUCCACCUCCACCUCCUCCGCCACCACCUCCUCCUCCGCCUCCAUGUAAGUUCAAGACAAAAAGCGGCUGCUUCAGAAACCAGCGGCUAGCAAAAGCCCACAACGUGAUCCAAACAUUCAAGAGCAAAAUCCUAGUCGACGAGAACAGCAAAAAAUUCACAAAGACAUGGCGAGGC
RNAcentral lists this long non-coding RNA (454 nucleotides) under Gossypium barbadense (sea-island cotton). RNAcentral describes it as "long non-coding RNA (GBAR_LNC002759)". The record is from RNAcentral. Lineage: Eukaryota; Viridiplantae; Streptophyta; Magnoliopsida; Malvales; Malvaceae.